RNAcentral lists this ribosomal RNA (467 nucleotides) under uncultured bacterium. RNAcentral describes it as "partial 16S ribosomal RNA". It matches the Rfam family "Bacterial small subunit ribosomal RNA", at positions 28 to 507 of the family's 1533-position model. The record is from RNAcentral.
GACGAACGCUGGCGGCGUGCUUAACACAUGCAAGUCGAACGGAAAGGCCUCUUUCGGGGGGUACUCGAGUGGCGAACGGGUGAGUAACACGUGAGUAACCUGCCCUUGACUUUGGGAUAACUUCAGGAAACUGGGGCUAAUACCGGAUAGGAGCUCCUGCUGCAUGGUGGGGGUUGGAAAGUUUCGGCGGUUGGGGAUGGACUCGCGGCUUAUCAGCUUGUUGGGGGGGUAGUGGCUUACCAAGGCUUUGACGGGUAGCCGGCCUGAGAGGGUGACCGGCCACAUUGGGACUGAGAUACGGCCCAGACUCCUACGGGAGGCAGCAGUGGGGAAUAUUGCACAAUGGGUGGAAGCCUGAUGCAGCAACGCCGGGUGCGGGAUGACGGCCUUCGGGUUGUAAACCGCUUUCGCUCAUGACGAAGCUUUGUGUGACGGUAGUGGGUAAAGAAGCACCGGCUAACUACGUG